UGGGGAAUUUUGGACAAUGGGCGGAAGCCUGAUCCAGCAAUGCCGCGUGUGUGAAGAAGGCCUUCGGGUUAUAAAGCACUUUUGUCCGGAAAGAAAUCCUUGGCUCUAAUACAGUCGGGGGAUGACGGUACCGGAAGAAUAAGCACCGGCUAACUACGUGCCAGCAGCCGCGGUAAUACGUAGGGUGCAAGCGUUAAUCGGAAUUACUGGGGCGUAAAGCGUGCGCAGGCGGUUUGCUAAGACCGAUGUGAAAUCCCCGGGCUCAACCUGGGAACUGCAUUGGUGACUGGCAGGCUAGAGUAUGGCAGAGGGGGGUAGAAUUCCACGUGUAGCAGUGAAAUGCGUAGAGAUGUGGAGGAAUACCGAUGGCGAAGGCAGCCCCCUGGGCCAAUACUGACGCUCAUGCACGAAAGCGUGGGGAGCAAACAGGAUUAGAUACCCUGGUAGUCCACGCCCUAAACGAUGUCAACUAGUUGUUGGGGGAUUCAUUUCCUUAGUAACGUAGCUAACGCGUGAAGUUGACCGCCUGGGGAGUACGGUCGCAAGAUUAAAACUCAAUGAAUUGACGGGGUCAUAGCUGUUUCCU
RNAcentral lists this ribosomal RNA (586 nucleotides) under uncultured bacterium. Its description in RNAcentral is "partial 16S ribosomal RNA". It matches the Rfam family "Bacterial small subunit ribosomal RNA", at positions 355 to 1375 of the family's 1533-position model. The record is from RNAcentral.